GAAGGGAGAACUACUCCUACGGGAGGCAGCAGUGGGGAAUAUUGCACAAUGGGCGAAAGCCUGAUGCAGCGACGCCGCGUGAGGGAUGACGGCCUUCGGGUUGUAAACCUCUUUCAGUAGGGAAGAAGCCCUCUUUGGGGGUGACGGUACUUGCAGAAGAAGCGCCGGCUAACUACGUGCCAGCAGCCGCGGUAAUACGUAGGGCGCAAGCGUUAUCCGGAAUUAUUGGGCGUAAAGAGCUCGUAGGCGGUUUGUCGCGUCUGCUGUGAAAGACCGGGGCUCAACUCCGGUUCUGCAGUGGGUACGGGCAGACUAGAGUGCAGUAGGGGAGACUGGAAUUCCUGGUGUAGCGGUGAAAUGCGCAGAUAUCAGGAGGAACACCGAUGGCGAAGGCAGGUCUCUGGGCUGUAACUGACGCUGAGGAGCGAAAGCAUGGGGAGCGAACAGGAUUAGAUACCCUGGUAGUCCAUGCCGUAAACGUUGGGCACUAGGUGUGGGGGACAUUCCACGUUUUCCGCGCCGUAGCUAACGCAUUAAGUGCCCCGCCUGGGGAGUACGGCCGCAAGGCUAAAACUCAAAGGAAUUGACGGGGGCCCGCACAAGCGGCGGAGCAUGCGGAUUGAUUCGAUGCAACGCGAAGAACCUUACCAAGGCUUGACAUGGACCGGAAAGACCUGAAACCAGGUGCCCC
This 691-nucleotide ribosomal RNA is filed under the name Arthrobacter sp. RNAcentral's name for it is "bacterial SSU rRNA". It matches the Rfam family "Bacterial small subunit ribosomal RNA", at positions 323 to 1016 of the family's 1533-position model. The record is from RNAcentral. Lineage: Bacteria; Bacillati; Actinomycetota; Actinomycetes; Micrococcales; Micrococcaceae.